This 73-nucleotide transfer RNA is filed under the name Haemaphysalis longicornis (longhorned tick). It matches the Rfam family "tRNA". Rfam says of the family: Transfer RNA (tRNA) molecules are approximately 80 nucleotides in length. Lineage: Eukaryota; Metazoa; Arthropoda; Arachnida; Ixodida; Ixodidae. The record is from Rfam by way of RNAcentral.
CCGCCGGUAGCGUAGUGGUUAUCGCACCAGACCGGUAAUCCGGAGGUCGUGGGUUCGAAUUCCACCCGGCGGG